ACACUCCUGCGGGAGGCAGCAGUGGGGAAUUUUGGACAAUGGGCGAAAGCCUGAUCCAGCAAUGCCGCGUGUGUGAAGAAGGCCUUCGGGUUGUAAAGCACUUUUGUCCGGAAAGAAAUCCUUGGCUCUAAUACAGUCGGGGGAUGACGGUACCGGAAGAAUAAGCACCGGCUAACUACGUGCCAGCAGCCGCGGUAAUACGUAGGGUGCGAGCGUUAAUCGGAAUUACUGGGCGUAAAGCGUGCGCAGGCGGUUUGCUAAGACCGAUGUGAAAUCCCCGGGCUCAACUUGGGAACUGCAUUGGUGACUGGCAGGCUAGAGUAUGGCAGAGGGGGGUAGAAUUCCACGUGUAGCAGUGAAAUGCGUAGAGAUGUGGAGGAAUACCGAUGGCGAAGGCAGCCCCCUGGGCCAAUACUGACGCUCAUGCACGAAAGCGUGGGGAGCAAACAGGAUUAGAUACCCCAGUAGUCCC
This 472-nucleotide ribosomal RNA is filed under the name uncultured organism. RNAcentral's name for it is "partial 16S ribosomal RNA". It matches the Rfam family "Bacterial small subunit ribosomal RNA", at positions 333 to 797 of the family's 1533-position model. The record is from RNAcentral.